GACGAACGCUGGCGGCGUGCUUAACACAUGCAAGUCGAACGGAAAGGCCUCUGUCGGGGGGUACUCGAGUGGCGAACGGGUGAGUAACACGUGAGUAACCUGCCCUUGACUUUUGGAUAACUUCAGGAAACGGGGGCUAAUACCGGAUAGGAGCUCCUGCUGCAUGGUGGGGGUUGGAAAGUUUCGGGGGUUUGGGGUAGGCUCGCGGCUUAUCAGCUUGUUGCUGUGGUAGUUUCUUACCGAAGCGUUGACGGGUGGCCGGCCUGAGGGGGUGACCGGCCGGAGUGGGUCCGAGAGACGGCAGCGGCACGGACGGGAGGCAAAAGGGGGGAAGAUUGCAGGAUCGGUGGCAGGUGGAUGCAGAAAGGCUUUGGGCGGGAGGGCGGGGUUGGGGGUGGAAAACGGAUUCGCAGAUGACGAAGAUUUGUGUGACGGUAGUGGGUAAGGAAGCAACGGCUAACUACGUG
This 467-nucleotide ribosomal RNA is filed under the name uncultured bacterium. RNAcentral describes it as "partial 16S ribosomal RNA". It matches the Rfam family "Bacterial small subunit ribosomal RNA", at positions 28 to 507 of the family's 1533-position model. The record is from RNAcentral.